Molecule: long non-coding RNA, 452 nt
Organism: Canis lupus familiaris (dog)
Lineage: Eukaryota; Metazoa; Chordata; Mammalia; Carnivora; Canidae
Exons: 5
Source: RefSeq, a predicted model, not a curated record
UCCCAGGACGGGUGUGAGUGGAAUGAAUGGGCGGGUCUGCAAUUGACGAGGGGCGGAGCAAUGGCUGUUCCUCGGAGUGGGCGUGCGUGAUGGGCCUGCGUAACUGCUAUGGAUGUGAUGAGUUUUGCUAAAUGUAAACAGAUGUGUAACCAGGACCCAAGAGUUCCCUCAGGCCCCUUUCCAAUCUUCCACGGCUUAGACAGCCACUCUGAUUUCUAUCAUCAUGAAAACAAAGAUGAAAACUUGGCUCUGGUGGUUGCCUUUUCCUUUCAUUUAUAGCAUCAUUGUUCAACAGUUCAGGAAUUUGGGCAGAUAUCAGUGGGACAGUUCACCUCUGUUUCAUGUCUAUGGUCUCAGCUGGAUUUCUCAAGAGUUUUCCCCUGCACAGCUCUAAGAUUUUAUUCAUUUAUGAGACACAGAGAUAGAGAGAGAGGCAGAGACACAGGCAGAGG